GGUACAGAAAGUUAAAACAGCACUCUCAAAUCUUACAGCAGCAGGAAUAUCAGAAGAAGGGACAUUUGAGACCCCAGAAGAGGCAGACUUUUGGGACCCCUCUGGAGAUUGGGAAGGGGAUAAUUGAGUAGAUUCCUCCUCCCAGGGCCAAAAUGCCAUUGCAGCAUUAACAACAGUGCCUGCUUCUGCCUCAGAUCUCCAGGCCAUGGCAAAGUGGCUGGGGAUUUUAAAA
Chelonoidis abingdonii (Abingdon island giant tortoise) is the source of this 232-nucleotide non-coding RNA. NCBI's taxonomy places the organism in Eukaryota, Metazoa, Chordata, Testudines, Testudinidae. The record is from RefSeq and is a predicted model, not a curated record.